Molecule: ribosomal RNA, 496 nt
Filed under: uncultured bacterium
Lineage: Bacteria
Description: partial 16S ribosomal RNA
Rfam family: Bacterial small subunit ribosomal RNA
Source: RNAcentral
AUGAACGCUGGCGGCGUGCCUAAUACAUGCAAGUCGAGCGAACGGACGAGAAGCUUGCUUCUCUGAUGUUAGCGGCGGACGGGUGAGUAACACGUGGAUAACCUACCUAUAAGACUGGGAUAACUUCGGGAAACCGGAGCUAAUACCGGAUGAUAUUUUGAACCGCAUGGUUCAAAAGUGAAAGACGGUCUUGCUGUCACUUAUAGAUGGAUCCGCGCUGCAUUAGCUAGUUGGUAAGGUAACGGCUUACCAAGGCAACGAUGCAUAGCUGACCUGAGAGGGUGAUCGGCCACACUGGAACUGAGACACGGUCCAGACUCCUACGGGAGGCAGCAGUAGGGAAUCUUCCGCAAUGGGCGAAAGCCUGACGGAGCAACGCCGCGUGAGUGAUGAAGGUCUUCGGAUCGUAAAACUCUGUUAUUAGGGAAGAACAUAUGUGUAAGUAACUGUGCACAUCUUGACGGUACCUAAUCAGAAAGCCACGGCUAACUACGUG